Molecule: ribosomal RNA, 429 nt
Filed under: Gemmatimonadota bacterium
Lineage: Bacteria; Pseudomonadati; Gemmatimonadota
Description: Gemmatimonadetes bacterium partial 16S ribosomal RNA
Rfam family: Bacterial small subunit ribosomal RNA
Source: RNAcentral
UAGGGAAUCUUCGGCAAUGGACGAAAGUCUGACCGAGCAACGCCGCGUGAGUGAAGAAGGUUUUCGGAUCGUAAAACUCUGUUGUUAGAGAAGAACAAGGACGUUAGUAACUGAACGUCCCCUGACGGUAUCUAACCAGAAAGCCACGGCUAACUACGUGCCAGCAGCCGCGGUAAUACGUAGGUGGCAAGCGUUGUCCGGACUUAUUGGGCGUAAAGCGAGCGCAGGCGGUUUCUUAAGUCUGAUGUGAAAGCCCCCGGCUCAACCGGGGAGGGUCAUUGGAAACUGGGAGACGUGAGUGCAGAAGAGGAGAGUGGAAUUCCAUGUGUAGCGGUGAAAUGCGUAGAUAUAGGGGGGAACACCAGUGGCGAAGGCGGCUCUCUGGUCUGUAACUGACGCUGAGGCUCGAAAGCGUGGGGAGCAAACAGG